This 679-nucleotide ribosomal RNA is filed under the name uncultured Actinomycetales bacterium. RNAcentral's name for it is "bacterial SSU rRNA". It matches the Rfam family "Bacterial small subunit ribosomal RNA", at positions 65 to 758 of the family's 1533-position model. Lineage: Bacteria; Bacillati; Actinomycetota; Actinomycetes; Actinomycetales. The record is from RNAcentral.
AACGGAAAGGCCUGCUUGCAGGGUACUCGAGUGGCGAACGGGUGAGUAACACGUGGGUGAUCUGCCCUGCACUUCGGGAUAAGCUUGGGAAACUGGGUCUAAUACCGGAUAGGACCGCACUUUAGUGUGUGUGGUGGAAAGUUUUUUCGGUGUAGGAUGAGCUCGCGGCCUAUCAGCUUGUUGGUGGGGUAAUGGCCUACCAAGGCGGCGACGGGUAGCCGGCCUGAGAGGGUGUACGGCCACAUUGGGACUGAGAUACGGCCCAGACUCCUACGGGAGGCAGCAGAGGGGAAUAUUGCACAAUGGGCGCAAGCCUGAUGCAGCGACGCCGCGUGGGGGAUGAAGGCCUUCGGGUUGUAAACUCCUUUCGCUAGGGACGAAGCUUUUUGUGACGGUACCUAGAUAAGAAGCACCGGCUAACUACGUGCCAGCAGCCGCGGUAAUACGUAGGGUGCGAGCGUUGUCCGGAAUUACUGGGCGUAAAGGGCUCGUAGGUGGUUUGUCGCGUCGUCUGUGAAAUUCUGGGGCUUAACUCCGGGCGUGCAGGCGAUACGGGCAUAACUUGAGUGCUGUAGGGGUAACUGGAAUUCCUGGUGUAGCGGUGAAAUGCGCAGAUAUCAGGAGGAACACCGAUGGCGAAGGCAGGUUACUGGGCAGUUACUGACGCUGAGGAGCGAAA